AAAACUUUCAACAACGGAUCUCUUGGUUCUGGCAUCGAUGAAGAACGCAGCGAAAUGCGAUACGUAAUGUGAAUUGCAGAAUUCCGUGAAUCAUCGAAUCUUUGAACGCACAUUGCACCCGGUGGUAUUCCGCCGGGUAUGCCUGUCUGAGCGUCAUUUCUACCCUCAAGCCCCCUAAAAAGAGCUUGGUGUUGGCGGAUUGCCCUCCCACUGCGGCAACCGCUGAAAUCGAAUGGCGGUAGCACACUCUGUUCCCUGUACAGUAACAAUUUCUUACAGCGGUCAUAGUGGACUUUACCGGCCCAAGACGCCCCAACUUAGCAAAAGUUGACCUCAGAUCAGGUAGGAAUACCCGCUGAACUUAAGCAUAUCAAUAAGCGGAGGAAAAGAAACCAACAGGGAUUGCCUCAGUAACGGCGAGUGAAGCGGCAACAGUCCAAAUUUGAAAUCUGGCCCCCUCCGGGGUCCGAGUUGUAAUUUGCAGAGGAUGCUUUUGGCGAGGUGCCUUCCGAGUUCCCUGGAACGGGACGCCAUAGAGGGUGAGAGCCCCGUACGGUAGGACCACCGAGCCUCUGUAAAGCUCCUUCGACGAGUCGAGUAGUUUGGGAAUGCUGCUCUAAAUGGGAGGUGUACGUCUUCUAAAGCUAAAUACCGGCCAGAGACCGAUAGCGCACAAGUAGAGUGAUCGAAAGAUGAAAAGCACUUUGAAAAGAGGGUUAAAAAGUACGUGAAAUUGUUGAAAGGGAAGCAUUCAUGACCAGACUUGGGCUUGGUUGAACAUCCGGCGUUCUCGCCGGUGCACUCUGCCAGUCCAGGCCAGCAUCAGUUUGCCCCGGGGGACAAAGGCGGCGGGAAUGUGGCUCUCUACGGGGAGUGUUAUAGCCCGUCGUGUAAUGCCCUGGGGCGGACUGAGGAACGCGCUUCGGCACGGAUGCUGGCGUAAUGGUCAUCAAUGACCCGUCUUGAAACACGGACC
Molecule: ribosomal RNA, 976 nt
Filed under: uncultured Hypocreales
Lineage: Eukaryota; Fungi; Ascomycota; Sordariomycetes; Hypocreales
Description: eukaryotic LSU rRNA
Rfam family: Eukaryotic large subunit ribosomal RNA (bases 329-976)
Source: RNAcentral